Molecule: non-coding RNA, 283 nt
Organism: Kogia breviceps (pygmy sperm whale)
Lineage: Eukaryota; Metazoa; Chordata; Mammalia; Artiodactyla; Physeteridae
Source: RefSeq, a predicted model, not a curated record
GCGGACAGCAUUUGGAGUGUCUCCCGCCAAAAGCAAAACACUCGGGACGACAGAAGUUUAACUCUGCUCUUCCUCCCAGCAGAGCUUCAGAAGUUCCUCAACUGUGAAUCAUUGUGAUGAUGUACAGCAGGAAUAGCCUCAUCUGGAAACCUUUGUGGUCCAGGCUGGGUUGUGAGGCACGGUCAACUCCUCAGAGACUAAUAAUGUUUGGUGUUUAUUGUCUCUGGAGAGCAAAAUUGGUCUGAAGCUGAAGAGAUAGUUCUUCAUGACUUAAGCAAUGAAG